This 693-nucleotide unclassified non-coding RNA is filed under the name Hevea brasiliensis (rubber tree). The record is from RNAcentral. Lineage: Eukaryota; Viridiplantae; Streptophyta; Magnoliopsida; Malpighiales; Euphorbiaceae.
CUCUCUCUCUCUCUCUCUCGCUAAGCUAGUUUUUCUCUUAGCUCGUAAUGCGUCAGUUCUAAUGGCGGCUUGCCAUUUCGUUUGAUCUAUUUGCUAUUGUACUCCUGCUCAUUUAGGAUUUUUUCGCUCAAGUUUUCGAUUAUUUAUGUUAGAUUUUUGGUUGGCACCUGGAAAAAUAAUUAUUACAGUUUUGAUGUUCUUUGAUUUGCAAAAGAGCAAAGGUUUGCGUUAUUUAGCUCUGCAUUUGGUAGCUGAGAUAAUAAUAAUAAUAAAAAGGGUUCUGAGUUACGUCUUUUUAAACGAAAAUGGUCACUUGAAUAAGCUAAUUUGAUAUUCAUUUUGUGGGUUUAAUCAUUUACAAAUAUAUGCUUGGAUGUGCCGUGUAGCUUUACACUUUUUUUGCCAUUAAUCACUUUUUAGAAGUCUUUUGGUGAUAAUGCUAUGAAAUCUUCUCCUUUUUAGUUGCAUUUUUGUUGCACGUAAGCCUACUUGUCUGUUCUGAAGAUUACAUUUGCUAUGAAAUUAAUGUGUUUUGAAACUGAUCCUCCAGUGAUAUUCCAAAAGCUCAUUGUGUAGUAUAAGCUUUUUGAUUGUGUUUGAUGAAAAUAGGGGCUUACAAGUAUGUCUCUGAGUUGUGGAGGAAGAAGCAAUCUGAUGUGAUGAGGUUUUUGCAGAGGGUGAGGUGCUGGGAGU